UUCCGGUUGAUCCUGCCGGAGGCCAUUGCUAUCGGGGUCCGAUUUAGCCAUGCUAGUUGUGCGGGUUAGACCCGCAGCAAAUAGCUCCGUAACACGUGGCCAAACUACCCUACAGAGACGGAUACCCUCGGGAAACUGAGGCUAACCCGUCAUACCGAUCUCAGGCUUGAAUCGCAGAGAUCACCAAACGCUCCGGCGCUGUAGGAUGUGGCUGCGGUUGAUUAGGUUGACGGUGGGGUAACGGCCCACCGUGCCCAUAAUCAGUACAGGUUGUGAGAGCAAGAACCUGGAGACGGAAUCUGAGACAAGAUUCCGGGCCCUACGGGGCGCAGCAGGCGCGAAACCUUUACACUGCACGCACGUGCGAUAAGGGGACUCCGAGUGCGAGGGCAUAUCGUCCUCGCUUUCGUGUACCGUAGGGUGGUACACCAACAAGGGCUGGGCAAGACCGGUGCCAGCCGCCGCGGU
RNAcentral lists this ribosomal RNA (468 nucleotides) under uncultured archaeon. Its description in RNAcentral is "bacterial SSU rRNA". It matches the Rfam family "Archaeal small subunit ribosomal RNA", at positions 1 to 471 of the family's 1478-position model. The record is from RNAcentral.